This 497-nucleotide ribosomal RNA is filed under the name uncultured bacterium. RNAcentral describes it as "partial 16S ribosomal RNA". It matches the Rfam family "Bacterial small subunit ribosomal RNA", at positions 28 to 507 of the family's 1533-position model. The record is from RNAcentral.
GAUGAACGCUGGCGGCGUGCCUAAUACAUGCAAGUCGAGCGAACGGACGAGAAGCUUGCUUCUCUGAUGUUAGCGGCGGACGGGUGAGUAACACGUGGAUAACCUACCUAUAAGACUGGGAUAACUUCGGGAAACCGGAGCUAAUACCGGAUAAUAUUUUGAACCGCAUGGUUCAAAAGUGAAAGACGGUCUUGCUGUCACUUAUAGAUGGAUCCGCGCUGCAUUAGCUAGUUGGUAAGGUAACGGCUUACCAAGGCAACGAUGCAUAGCCGACCUGAGAGGGUGAUCGGCCACACUGGAACUGAGAACCGGUCCAGACUCAGACGGGAGGCAGCAGUAGGGAAUCUUCCGCAAUGGGCGAAAGCCUGACGGAGCAACGCCGCGUGAGUGAUGAAGGUCUUCGUAUCGUAAAACUCUGUUAUUAGGGAAGAAAAUAUGUGUAAGUAACUGUGCACAUCUUGAGGGUACCUAAUCAGACAGCCAGGGCUAACUACGUG